AGAGUUUGAUCAUGGCUCAGAACGAACGCUGGCGGCGUGGAUAAGACAUGCAAGUCGAGCGCUGAUUACGGGGUAGCAAUAUUCCGUGGUCGGAGCGGCGCAAGGGUGCGUAACACGUGGGUAAUCUGCCAUGAAGUUUGGAAUAACUUGCUGAAAGGCGAGCUAAUGCCGGAUGUGAAAACUGGGAGGCAUCUCUUGGUUUUCAAAGCUGGGGACCGUAAGGCCUGGCGCUUCAUGAUGAGCCCGCGGCCUAUCAGCUAGUUGGUAAGGUAACGGCUUACCAAGGCUAAGACGGGUAGCUGGUCUGAGAGGACGACCAGCCACACUGGAACUGAGACACGGUCCAGACACCUACGGGUGGCAGCAGUCGAGAAUUUUUCACAAUGGGCGCAAGCCUGAUGGAGCGACGCCGCGUGGGGGAUGAAUGGCUUCGGCCCGUAAACCCCUGUCAUUUGCGAUCAACCGUUGUUGUUUAAGAGAUGACAACCUGAUAGUAGCGAAAGAGGAAGGGACGGCUAACUCUGUGCCAGCAGCCGCGGUAAUACAGAGGUCCCAAGCGUUGUUCGGAUUCACUGGGCGUAAAGGGUGCGUAGGUGGCGGGGUAAGUCGGAUGUGAAAUCUCCGAGCUCAACUCGGAAAUGGCAUUGGAAACUGCUCUGCUCGAGGGUUGGAGGGGGGACUGGAAUACUUGGUGUAGCAGUGAAAUGCGUAGAUAUCAAGUGGAACACCAGUGGCGAAGGCGAGUCCCUGGACAACUCCUGACACUGAGGCACGAAAGCUAGGGGAGCAAACAGGAUUAGAUACCCUAGUAGUCC
This 815-nucleotide ribosomal RNA is filed under the name uncultured bacterium. RNAcentral's name for it is "bacterial SSU rRNA". It matches the Rfam family "Bacterial small subunit ribosomal RNA", at positions 8 to 796 of the family's 1533-position model. The record is from RNAcentral.